This 480-nucleotide ribosomal RNA is filed under the name uncultured bacterium. RNAcentral describes it as "bacterial SSU rRNA". It matches the Rfam family "Bacterial small subunit ribosomal RNA", at positions 25 to 518 of the family's 1533-position model. The record is from RNAcentral.
CAGAACGAACGCUGGUGGCGUGUCUAUACAUGCAAGUCGAGCGGUGCAGCAAUGCAUAGCGGCGAACGGGUGAGUAACGCGUAAGCAAUCUGCCCCCUGUUCGGGAAUAGCCGUGCCAACGCGCGGGUAAUACCGGAUAUCGUGGCGCUCCUCAUGGAGCGUUGACAAAAGAUUUAUCGACAGGGGAUGAGCUUGCGUCCGAUUAGCUAGUUGGCGGGGCAACGGCCCACCAAGGCGACGAUCGGUAGCCGGCCUGAGAGGGUGAUCGGCCACAUUGGGACUGAGAUACGGCCCAGACUCCUACGGGAGGCAGCAGUAGGGAAUAUUGCACAAUGGGGGAAACCCUGAUGCAGCAACGCCACGUGUGGGAAAGAAGCAUUUCGGUGUGUAAACCACUGUCGUGAGGGAAUAAGGCUGAGUUUCGGCUCAGUUGAAUGUACCUCGAGAGGAAGCACCGGCAAACUUCGUGCCAGCAGCCGC